Acanthosepion pharaonis is the source of this 114-nucleotide non-coding RNA. The record is from the annotation of a GenBank genome assembly. Lineage: Eukaryota; Metazoa; Mollusca; Cephalopoda; Sepiida; Sepiidae.
UUAUGGCCACAUCACGUUGAAACACUGGUUCUACAACGAUCACCGAAGUUAAGCAUCGUCGACACUAGUCUGUACUGAGAUGGGUGACCGCUCGAGAAUACCAGGUGCUGUAAG